AUGUCCUCUUGCCUUAGCCUCCUGAAUGCUGGGAUUAUAAUAGGCAUGUGUUAGGGUGCCUGCCUCAAGCCUGUGUACAUUUUCCCCCAGAGAAUGUUAAUUAGGCAUCAUGUGGUAGAAAACUGAGAAGACACCAGAGGUUUAGUGAAAGUAUACUCCUACUUCUCCCCCUCUGCUUCACCACAGAUCCUCUCAGAAAGUUAUUACCUUCCCAGAAUCAUCUUACAUGUUUAAUGUUUAGAUUAACUCCUAUUAACAAAUAUCACAACUGUUGCCUUCAUUACUGCCCAAGGAGAGCAUGACAGAUAAUACGAGGAUCCAAGGUCAAGGGCAGAGCCUUGACAGAUAAGAGUCCCGAAGCUUUUGGGAUUUUGUUUAGACUACAUAUUUUAAGGGCUGGAAGGAUGGCUUAAUGGUACUAGUGGUUCUUCCAGAUAGAGUUCAGUUCCCAGCACCCACGUGGUGACUCACAGCAGUCUCUAACUCCAGUUCCAAGGGAAUCCAAUGCCCUUGUCUGGCCUUUUCGGGGCUCUGCACACACACAUGAUGCAGAUAUACAUGCAGGCAAAACAUCCAUUCUCAUAAAAUAAAAAAUUAAAAGUUACAUCCUUCCCAGGCCUCGUUAGCCACUGUUAACCAUAUUGUUUACUCUUAUUACUUGGCACUGUUACCUGUAACUUCACUUGUUUACAAUUGAGGAUUUAGGUAAAGUCAAGGUAAAUAAUUAAUCUUCUUGGCCACCCUGGCUUGACUAUGUAUAUAAGUAUUGCUCAGCAUUAUUUAAGUAAAUGCUUAUAUUGGUUAUUUUAACAAAAAAAAGAAUUUAUUUUAUUAAGGUUUCAAAGGAUUCAGGUCAUCUUGACCCAAGUUUUGGGGCCUAUUUUGAGACAUAAGAAUGUGAGGUAAUCAAGCUUCCAAGAGAAGGGAAUGCUGGACUGUGCCAUUUAUCCAUUUAUUUUGUUCAGGCACUAAGCUCAUAAGAUGCUUUCAGCCACAUUUAGGGUUAAUCCUUUGUAGAAAAUUCAGGUAUUUUAGGCCAAGGUGAAGAAAUUAACCAUCACAGUGCUUAAAUGGUAUCCCAGGAGUCCAUUACUUUUAAUCUACGUAAUUUGAAACAGCAAUCUCAGUGUUUAUAAUAAAGGACUCAACUUGAACUCUAA
This is a long non-coding RNA of Mastomys coucha (southern multimammate mouse), 1160 nucleotides long. RefSeq lists it as uncharacterized. The transcript is spliced from 2 exons. The record is from RefSeq and is a predicted model, not a curated record. NCBI's taxonomy places the organism in Eukaryota, Metazoa, Chordata, Mammalia, Rodentia, Muridae.